Long non-coding RNA from Oncorhynchus keta (chum salmon), 1566 nucleotides. RefSeq lists it as uncharacterized. Lineage: Eukaryota; Metazoa; Chordata; Actinopteri; Salmoniformes; Salmonidae. The transcript has 3 exons. The record is from RefSeq and is a predicted model, not a curated record.
AGGGAGGGAGGGAGGGAGGGAGGGAGGGAGGGAGGGAGGAUCAUGUCAUGGUGUCAUAGCUGUCACACAGGUGAUGUCACAGGAGUGUGUCAGUCGGCGUGUAUGAGAGUCUGAGGUUCUGUUCACGUUGUCUCCCGGGCAGAGCAGGGAGCCGAUCAGAGGUUCUGUUCACGUUGUCUCCCGGGCAGAGCAGGGAGCUGAUCAGAGGUUCUGUUCACGUUGUCUCCCGGGCAGAGCAGGGAGCCGAUCAGAGGUUCUGUUCACGUUGUCUCCCGGGCAGAGCAGGGAGCCGAUCAGAGGUUCUGUUCACGUUGUCUCCCGGGCAGAGCAGGGAGCUGAUCAGAGGUUCUGUUCACGUUGUCUCCCGGGCAGAGCAGGGAGCUGAUCAGAGGUUCUGUUCACGUUGUCUCCCGGGCAGAGCAGGGAGCCGAUCAGAGGUUCUGUUCACGUUGUCUCCCGGGCAGAGCAGGGAGCCGAUCAGAGGUUCUGUUCACGUUGUCUCCCGGGCAGAGCAGGGAGCUGAUCAGAGGUUCUGUCCACGUUGUCUCCCGGGCAGAGCAGGGAGCUGAUCAGAGGUUCUGUUCACGUUGUCUCCCGGGCAGAGCAGGGAGCUGAUCAGAGGUUCUGUUCACGUUGUCUCCCGGGCAGAGCAGGGAGCUGAUCAGAGGUUCUGUUCACGUUGUCUCCCGGGCAGAGCAGGGAGCUGAUCAGAGGUUCUGUUCACGUUGUCUCCCGGGCAGAGCAGGGAGCUGAUCAGAGGUUCUGUUCACGUUGUCUCCCGGGCAGAGCAGGGAGCUGAUCAGAGGUUCUGUUCACGUUGUCUCCCGGGCAGAGCAGGGAGCCGAUCAGAGGUUCUGUUCACGUUGUCUCCCGGGCAGAGCAGGGAGCCGAUCAGAGGUUCUGUUCACGUUGUCUCCCGGGCAGAGCAGGGAGCCGAUCAGAGGUUCUGUUCACGUUGUCUCCCGGGCAGAGCAGGGAGCCGAUCAGAGGUUCUGUUCACGUUGUCUCCCGGGCAGAGCAGGGAGCCGAUCAGAGGUUCUGUUCACGUUGUCUCCCGGGCAGAGCAGGGAGCCCAGCAGUAUAGACGAGGAGGAUCAGGAGGUGAAUCAGGAUAACAUCCUGGAAACAGCAGAGAGCUGGGGAGUGUGGCAGGCCGGAGGGGUCAGAGGUUAGAGGUCAGGCUGGAGUUCAGUAUCCUGUCAGUCUGGAGGGACUCCUUUUCGCUGAGGCCUUUUCUGGGCUCUGUGUGUGUGUGUGUGUGUGUGUGUGUGUGUGUGUGUGUGUGUGUGUGUGUGUGUGUGUGUGUGUGUGUGUGUGUGUGUGUGUGUGUGUGUGUGUGUGUGUGUGUGUGUGUGUGUGUGUGUGUGUGUGUGUGUGUGUGUGUGUGUGUGUGUGUGUGUGUGUGUGUGUGUGUGUGUGUGUGUGUGUGUGUGUGUGUUCAAUACCCUGUGGUGAUGUUGGUGAGUGUGUGUGUGUUUGAGCCCGGUGCAGUGAAGCUAUAGGCAGCGUAGGCCACAGCUGAUCCCAACAUCAACCCUGUCAUGUACGAUACAGUCAUAGUGUUAC